RNAcentral lists this ribosomal RNA (259 nucleotides) under uncultured prokaryote. Its description in RNAcentral is "partial 16S ribosomal RNA". It matches the Rfam family "Bacterial small subunit ribosomal RNA", at positions 524 to 782 of the family's 1533-position model. The record is from RNAcentral.
UACGUAGGUGGCAAGCGUUGUCCGGAUUUAUUGGGCGUAAAGGGAGCGCAGGCGGUGACUUAAGUCUGAUGUGAAAGCCCACGGCUCAACCGUGGAAGGUCAUUGGAAACUGGGUCACUUGAAUAUAGAAGAGGAAAGUGGAAUUCCAUGUGUAGCGGCGAAAUGCGUAGAUAUAUGGAGGAACACCAGUGGCGAAGGCGACUUUCUGGUCUAUUAUUGACGCUGAGGCUCGAAAGCAUGGGUAGCAAACAGGAUUAGA